RNAcentral lists this ribosomal RNA (2157 nucleotides) under Triticum aestivum (bread wheat). RNAcentral describes it as "partial small subunit ribosomal RNA". Lineage: Eukaryota; Viridiplantae; Streptophyta; Magnoliopsida; Poales; Poaceae. The record is from RNAcentral.
AUGGAUCAGGUUUUCUCUAUUGAUACAGGUCGAGGUCAACAAGGAGAGAAGAAGAGAAAAAACAUGUGCAGUGCAAGUGUGUCGCCAAAGCUUAUGUCCUUCUAUUUAUUAGAAAAUAUUACAAAUGGUUUCUCUGAGGACAGGAAGCUUGGUGCUGGUUCGUAUGGAAAAGUUUACAUGGGAGAGUAUGAGGAUGGGGAAGCAAUUGCUGUGAAGUUGCUCCAUUACACCCCAGGACUUGAUGAUGAGCAAUUUGAGAAGGAGUAUCGCAACCUUGCAAGCCUCCAACACAAUAAUAUUGUGCGGUUACUUGGCUAUGCUCAUGAAACUCAGCGAGAAUGCUUACCGUAUAAUGGAAAAAUGGUUUUUGCGGAGAUGACAAAAAGAGCGCUUUGCUUCGAGUAUAUGCCUAAUGGAAGCCUUGACAAAUUCCUUUCUGAUGAAUCUAGUGGACUCGAUUGGUGCACACGCUAUUCCAUAAUUAAGGGGAUCUGUGAGGGUAUACAAUACCUUCACGGCGAACUGGAUUCUCCUAUGUAUCAUUUGGAUUUGAAACCAGCCAAUGUAUUGCUGGAUGAGAACAUGGUUCCGAAAGUAGCAGAUUUUGGCUUGUCAAGACUCUUUGGUGGAGAACUAACACAAAUGACAAAAAGUGCUAUAGGAACACCUGGAUAUGUACCACCGGAAUACAUAGACGCGGCUAUAAUUUCAAUUAAGUUUGACAUAUUCAGUUUAGGUGUCGUAAUCAUAAAGAUAAUGACUGGACCAACAGGCUACUUCAGAACUGCCGAAAUGUCUUGCGAACAAUUCAUCGAGCUUGUACAUGAGAACUGGAACAAUAGGCUACAUACAACAUCAUUAUAUAAAUCAUAUUCAGAACAAGCAAAGCGAUGCAUUGAAAUAGCUUUACGUUGCGUGGACGCUGAUAGACACAAAAGGCCGAGUAUGGGGGUAAUCAUGGAUCAGCUGAAUGAGACGGAGACUGCGAUACAACUUCUUGAGGUGUCAUGGAAUGACACAGGGUCGUACGAGAUGUGCCAUUGCAUUUCAACUGAGUGUGAGUUGAUGGAUAUCUCGCUAAAGAAAUGUGUGUCCCACCCAAUGCACGUAACUGAUAAUAGAGGUGAGGUGCAUGAGGUAACAGUGACUACCGCUUAUGACCCAGCAAGCGAGACUGAAACCUUUGAGCCGAUCCGACCGAGAAUAAAGAUGAUCGACAUGCGCUGGCAUAAGAGUGGAUUUAUUAAUGUAAUGGAUGUGCAUCCAGCAAAGCCUUGGAUUUUGCUAGGUCAUAUAUCCGGAAAGGUCUCCCUUUGGAACCAUCGGACUCAGGAAAACGUGAUGAAAUGGGACGCCAGUGAAGAUGGAAAUAAAGGUUAUCCGAUUAGUGCAGUUAAAUUUAUCGCACGGAUGAAUUGGUUUGUGAUCGGUACUGCCAUUAUUGGGCUCAUCCAGGUGUAUUCAUGUAAUAAAGUACUGGGCAUACUGAAUCAAUUCACAGCCGGUUACGGCAGGGUCAAUUCACUGGCGGUUCACCCGAGCCAGCCAUUGGUGCUGUCAGCGUGUGGCCGGCAGAUCAAACUAUGGAACUGGGAGGCUGGCUGGGCAUGCAUUAGGACAUUCGCGGAAGCACAUUCGGGUGACGUGCUGCACCAGUACAUUGGGGCCGAGUUUAAUCCGCAGGGUACGGGCGACACAUUUGCUAGUGCUUCCUGGGACGGAACAGUACAGAUCUGGAGCAUCUAUUCUGACACGCCUAUCUCGACGUUGAAAUCUGAUUAUAAGCAAAGACUACUGCAAAGUGUUGAUUAUUUUAUUGCUCGUGGUGAUCGGCAGUACAUUGUUGCAGGGUAUUGGGACGGGACCGCACAUAUCUGGGAUUUGCAGUCAAACAAAUGUAUUCGACGAAUCAAGGGACUCCAAACCUGGGAUAACAAUAUUGCUGUUGCUGUUGUCGGCCGGCCGCAGGGUCAUCAGAUUUUGGUUACAGUUUCGAAAGACAAUGUUGUUUCUUUCUGUGACUCCACUACCCACAGGUAUGAGAACAAGGUUCACUUUACCAACAAACCCAUUCGGCGUUUUGGAUACAUUAAUAGCACUAAAAGUCUCGUUAUUGGAUAUAUUGAUGGACUCGCAAUCAUCGAAACAAUGAAAUAG